UACGGAGAGUGCGAACGUUGUUCGGAUUCACUGGGCGUAAAGGGCACGUAGGCGGCUUGGCAAAUCGGUCGUGGAAUCCCGACGCUUACCGUCGGAACGGCGGCCGAAAAUACCGAGCUCGAGGGCGUGAGGGGUCACUGGAACUCCUGGUGAAGCGGUGAAAUGCGUAGAUAUCAGGAGGAACGCUGGAGGCGAAAGCGAGUGACUGGCGCGUUCCUGACGCUGAGGCGCGAAAGCUAGGGGAGCAAACAGG
RNAcentral lists this ribosomal RNA (253 nucleotides) under uncultured bacterium. RNAcentral describes it as "partial 16S ribosomal RNA". It matches the Rfam family "Bacterial small subunit ribosomal RNA", at positions 524 to 776 of the family's 1533-position model. The record is from RNAcentral.